CACCACCUCUCUCUAUCUCAGCCUAUCUAUCCAUGUCUGUCUCACCACCUCUCUCUAUCUCAGCCUAUCUAUCCAUGUCUGUCUCACCACCUCUCUCUAUCUCAGCCUAUCUAUCCAUGUCUGUCUCACCACCUCUCUCUGCCUCAGGUUUGUUUUCAUAUGCUAUCCCUUCCUCUGCUCGUCUUUCAUCUCCUUUCCUCCUUCCAUGUCAAUCAAGGUGCUGUCGUAGCGUCUCUCCCCCUCUAUGCUCUCCGUAAUCAAUCAGCCAAUCCCUUCCUAUUGACGGCCCAGUGACAUUGAAAAUGACAGGUGACAGCCAUAUUGAUGACACACGAUACCACUAUAAAACCUAUACAGUACACAUAUAUCAAGUGGAACAUUUACUGACUAAAGUACCACAACACAAAUUUCCAGGGUAAUGUUAAACCGGUCGGAAUAUGGACGUGUGGUUGGAUGAGGGGUUCAUUACUGGUGUCAAUUUGUGAUAUUGUGUCAGAGACUGUGUUUUCCCAGUGAUUUAACAGGGUCAGUGCAGUCCUUCAGAUGAUCCAGGUAAGUACCUGGAAUGUAUUCUGCUGUCGAACAGAGUGGCUUAGACUGGUCUAGAGGGUGUGACUCUGUUUUAAUGAGAGGAUGAUGUAACCUGUCGGACCAUACAUUGGUAGGGUUGGGAACAUGGCAGGUUGAUAACAGGUUGCAUGUGUUACACAUGCUGUGUCUAUUGAAAUAUACCAGUCAAUAAUUGUCCUCAUUCUGCCUCUGGUGACGAGCUUUACAUCCCACAUGGUAUAAGGUAGAGGAGACGGGUUGGUUAUCACAAUGCUCAUAACUACUAAUCUGGAGCAUAGAAAUGGUAUUUUCCUAAUUUAAAUGUUUUGUGAUGUUGACAUGUGUGAACAACAUGGAUCUCUACUAAACUAAUCUCUAAUAAACACAUUUGUACAUCCAACUCAAUUCAGACCACUGUCCAGGUUUUUAGUUAUAAGCAUUGUGACAACCAACCUGUGUGACAACCAGCCCUGUCUCCUCUAGGCUUCCUCAUCCAGAAACUGAUGAGCUAUAGUAUCCCCAGGAGGCUCCUCACUGUGGGGUAAAGGUGAUUCAGGGGCAUAAGUAUUAGAGGCAGAUCUCCACCAUCGAUCGCAGGGAGCCGCGGUGCAGUGAAGGCUGUCGCCAACUUAACGAGACUGAAAAUUAAAAUUACGAUUCACCUCCAUCCGCACUGUCAGUCUCUCCCUUCCUCUCUUACACAAACAUAUUAUCACAGCAGUACACCAGGACAGACAGUCUCCAAAACACAAACAAAAUCAAAAAACUAAAACAUAGCCAUUCUUUCAUUAUUCAAGACACUGUGUACAAAAUGUUUGAAUCCAAAUACAUUUAAGUGAUAAUGCCCGAGAAGCUGGUGUUUGGAGGAUAUAUUGGCACAGGUGUUAGGCCCGAGACAAUGUCGAGUGCUGGCAAACCGUGCCAAUAUAUCAUCCAAACACCAACUUCAAGAGCAUUAUCUCUUUUAUACAACGUGUUACCAACGUAUUCAAAUAAUGAUUGACAUAUUUUCGUUAAGAACACUAUUUUGAUGAAUUUAGUCAUACUAUUUCAUCCUUCCUCAAAAUAGUCACGACACAAAUCUAGGGUUGCUACCCAAGCCGACUGGUCAUUCGUUCCAUCGGUUUGGUUGCCAGAGACGCGACCCAGUCGUUCAGUCUUUUCGUUCUCUAUCUAUGGACACGACCCAGUCGUUCAUUCUAAAUGUUCUAUUGCCAUACUGUCUGGCAGCGUUCUUAUCCCUUGCUUGCUAGCUAGCCAACUAUGGCUAACUUAGUCACGCCAAAAAGAAUCACGUGCAG
Oncorhynchus tshawytscha (Chinook salmon) is the source of this 1850-nucleotide long non-coding RNA. The record is from Ensembl. NCBI's taxonomy places the organism in Eukaryota, Metazoa, Chordata, Actinopteri, Salmoniformes, Salmonidae.